AGCAGCCGCGGUAAUUCCAGCUCCAAUAGCGUAUAUUAAAGUUGUUGCAGUUAAAAAGCUCGUAGUUGAAUUUCGGGAUCAAUUUGCUGGUCGUGCCUUUGGUACGCACUGGUAUUAUUGGUUUCUCCUUUCUGAUGAAUCGCGAUGUCAUUAAUUUGGUGUCGUGGGGAAUCAGGACCGUUACUUUGAAAAAAUUAGAGUGUUUAAAGCAGGCUCACGCUUGAAUACAUUAGCAUGGAAUAAUGAAAUAGGACGUUUGAUUCUAUUUUGUUGGUUUCUAGGAUCGACGUAAUGAUUAAUAGGGAUAGUUGGGGGCAUUAGUAUUCAAUUGUCAGAGGUGAAAUUCUUGGAUUUAUUGAAGACUAACUACUGCGAAAGCAUUUGCCAAGGAUGUUUUCAUUAAUCAAGAACGAAAGUUAGGGGAUCGAAGGCGAUCAGAUACCGUCGUAGUCUUAACCAUAAACUAUGCCGACUAGGGAUCGGAUGAUGUUAAUUUUUAAUGA
RNAcentral lists this ribosomal RNA (503 nucleotides) under uncultured Glomus. RNAcentral's name for it is "SSU rRNA". It matches the Rfam family "Eukaryotic small subunit ribosomal RNA", at positions 569 to 1074 of the family's 1831-position model. Lineage: Eukaryota; Fungi; Glomeromycota; Glomeromycetes; Glomerales; Glomeraceae. The record is from RNAcentral.